CCUACGGGGAGCAGCAGUGGGGAAUAUUGGUCAAUGGGCGCAAGCCUGACCCAGCAACGCCGCGUGAAGGAAGAAGGCUUUCGGGUUGUAAACUUCUUUUUAGAGGGAAGAGCAGAAGACCGUACCUCUUUAAUAAGCCACGGCUAACUACGUGCCAGCAGCCACGGGAAUACGUAGGUGGCAAGCGUUGGCCGGAUUUACUGGGUGUAAAGGGAGUGUAGCCGGGCUGACAAGUCAGAUGUGAAAUUCCGGGGCUCAACCCCGGACCUGAAUGUGAAACUGUUGGUCUUGAGUAUCGGAGAGGCAGGCGGAAUUCCUAGUGUAGCGGUGAAAUGCGUAGAUAUUAGGAGGAACACCAGUGGCGAAGGCGGCCUGCUGGACGACAACUGACGGUGAGGCGCGAAAGCGUGGGGAGCAAACAGGAUUAGAUACCCUUGUAGUC
RNAcentral lists this ribosomal RNA (442 nucleotides) under uncultured bacterium. RNAcentral describes it as "partial 16S ribosomal RNA". It matches the Rfam family "Bacterial small subunit ribosomal RNA", at positions 338 to 795 of the family's 1533-position model. The record is from RNAcentral.